This 480-nucleotide ribosomal RNA is filed under the name uncultured organism. Its description in RNAcentral is "partial 16S ribosomal RNA". It matches the Rfam family "Bacterial small subunit ribosomal RNA", at positions 329 to 800 of the family's 1533-position model. The record is from RNAcentral.
ACGUACACUCCUACGGGAGGCAGCAGUGGGGAAUAUUGCACAAUGGGCGCAAGCCUGAUGCAGCCAUGCCGCGUGUAUGAAGAAGGCCUUCGGGUUGUAAAGUACUUUCAGCGGGGAGGAAGGUGUUGAGGUUAAUAACCUCAGCAAUUGACGUUACCCGCAGAAGAAGCACCGGCUAACUCCGUGCCAGCAGCCGCGGUAAUACGGAGGGUGCAAGCGUUAAUCGGAAUUACUGGGCGUAAAGCGCACGCAGGCGGUCUGUCAAGUCGGAUGUGAAAUCCCCGGGCUCAACCUGGGAACUGCAUUCGAAACUGGCAGGCUAGAGUCUUGUAGAGGGGGGUAGAAUUCCAGGUGUAGCGGUGAAAUGCGUAGAGAUCUGGAGGAAUACCGGUGGCGAAGGCGGCCCCCUGGACAAAGACUGACGCUCAGGUGCGAAAGCGUGGGGAGCAAACAGGAUUAGAAACCCGGGUAGUCCCAUGA